AGAACGAACGCUGGCGGCAGGCCUAAUACAUGCAAGUCGAACGCACUCUUCGGAGUGAGUGGCAGACGGGUGAGUAACGCGUGGGAACCUUCCCAAUGGUACGGAAUAACUCCGGGAAACCGGUGCUAAUACCGUAUAAGCCCCUCGGGGGAAAGAUUUAUCGCCAUUGGAUGGGCCCGCGUCGGAUUAGCUAGUUGGUAAGGUAAUGGCUUACCAAGGCUACGAUCCGUAGCUGGUCUGAGAGGAUGAUCAGCCACACUGGGACUGAGACACGGCCCAGACUCCUACGGGAGGCAGCAGUAGGGAAUCUUGGACAAUGGGCGAAAGCCUGAUCCAGCCAUGCCGCGUGAGUGAAGAAGGCCUUAGGGUUGUAAAGCUCUUUUGGCGGGACGAUAAUGACGGUACCCGCAGAAUAAGCCCCGGCUAACUUCGUGCCAGCAGCCGC
Molecule: ribosomal RNA, 445 nt
Filed under: uncultured bacterium
Lineage: Bacteria
Also listed under: 1 other name
Description: SSU rRNA
Rfam family: Bacterial small subunit ribosomal RNA
Source: RNAcentral